This is an RNA transcript of Lytechinus pictus (painted urchin), 2713 nucleotides long. It is a transcript of the gene named serine/arginine-rich splicing factor 3-like, with no coding region annotated. The record is from RefSeq and is a predicted model, not a curated record. Lineage: Eukaryota; Metazoa; Echinodermata; Echinoidea; Temnopleuroida; Toxopneustidae. The transcript is spliced from 6 exons.
ACAGUGCAUGCGAGCAAUCAAUCGCAACACAUGCAUGAUGACCGUCUUUCACAUCAACGACCUUUAUGCGAUCAGCUGCGAGUGAUAAGACCUCCAUAAAUUCGACCUAUUUAUCUUAAUUAACAACCAGCUAAACCAGAAUGUCUCGUUACGAUGGAGGUGGCGGUGGUGGUGGUGGUAGGUCCUCUGCUGAAAGGGGCUGUAAAGUGUACAUCGGAAACCUUGGAGAAUCUGCCAACAAGUCUGAAAUUGAGAAACUAUUUGGUACUUUUGGACCCUUGAAGAAUGUCUGGAUUGCUAGGAAUCCUCCAGGCUUCGCGUUCGUAGAGUAUGACGAUCCAAGAGAUGCAUCCGAUGCAGUAAAGGAUAUGGAUUCAAGGACCAUCUGUGGAGAGAGGGCUCGUGUGGAACUAGCUCGGGGUGAAUCAAGAAGACGAGGCUCCCGUGGAGGCGGUCGUGGCGGUGGAGGAGGUUUCCGAGGAGGGAACCGUGGUCCUCCAAGGGGAGACCGAUAUAGUGGGGAUUAUGGAAAUUUUGGAGGAGGAGGUGGAAGGCGUGGCUUCGGGGGCGGUGGUGGAGGACGCCGAAGGAGCUACUCCAGGACUCUCCUUUUAACGGCUUCACAGCCAAGUAACGCCUUGAGCCUUGUAAUGCCCUUCAGGAAUCCACCAUAAAGCUCUUCCAUUCUAUACCCUUGAGCAGCUAGUCGACGGAAUGUGAUCUUUUCAUGAUAAAGACCUGUUCGGCAGAGGGUAAAAAGAAGUCUUGCGCUUCUAGAACCCUCUUCUUCACAUUGCACCUUUACGCCAAAUCUGCACUUCAGGUUCAUUAAGUAAAAUCAGAAAAAGCUUCAAAAUUCCAGAUUCAAAAUCUCGACGAAAAAGGGGCUUCAAAAUUGGCCAGUCACCACCACCACCUUGCAAAAGCUUACUUCGAUUCAGGCCACGUCGAUUUGUGACUUCAUUUAGUAGGAGACUGCGGCCUUCAAAUUCAUAAUGGCUUCAGGGUCAUACUAGUUUCGUCAGUUCUGCACUUGGUAAAAAGAUCACGUAUACGUCAUACUGCUUUCUCCUGCGUUAGUCCUUCACUAGUCCUUCGCUAAUCCUUCACUAGGCCUUCGCUACUGACAAAAUGGGAACCUUAAGUUCCCUUUGUCCAAUUUCUUCACCCUUCUACAUGUAUUUCUACAGGCGAAAGAGGUAAUCUCGAUCGCGAUCUCGCUCACCUUUCCAAAGACGAGGUGGAGUCAGUCGUAGCAGAAGUCGAAGUCGUUAAGUGAUGAGGCGUAGUCCAUGGUCAACAUGUUGUGCUUUAAAUGUAAUGUAUUAAAAUUAUCAAGUGGAGAAUCAAACCAGCCCUUCUCUGAUUGGCUGGUUCUUGGGAAGCAUUCUUCAAACACACCAAUUACCAGCAUAAUCCUUCCUGUGGAGUAAGAGGUUGGUCUGUACAUUACAGUGUAUAUUAUAUUGCUUAAGUUUGUCCGAUUUUGAUGUCGGUCAUGGCACAAUAUUCUAGUUUUAUUUUGUGGGUGUAUGACUGUGUAAUUUGUGAGACUCUUCUCUGUGUAUUUUUUAGUCCUUUAUAUGCGUAUCAGCGUCAUUUUUUAAUACCGUUCCUGUAAGUUAUUUUAUGCAACCAUCCUCUACCUUUAAUUAAUGGAGGCUUUUGAACAGUGGAAAUAGAUUGAUUUUGAUUUCAAAUCAUGUUAUCGCGUUCCUCACACAUGGUGAAAUAUUGAAGGAAAUUCACAAAUUAUGCAUUAUAUGUGGAGUUCUUAGCCUGUGAACUAUGUUGAUAUGUAGUCAGUAGCAUUAUUAACUAUAGACCAUUUAAGGGAAUGUAUAUUGUAAGUGAUGUGUGAUUCGUACUAUUUCAGUAUCCUAAUUUCCUCACAAUAAUCUUUGGUUUUGGGAAGUCUUUAAUCUAUUGUUACAUAAAUACAUUAAAUAGAUGCAGAAUGACAUUCAUUACUGAUGUAAAAAAAUGGUUUUAAUUCUCUUAAUUGCUCUUGUUUUCUUUUUCUUUUUAUGAUUUGAGUAAAUUAAUAUUUAUGGAUUCAAAAUCGGUCGUGUGUACGAAACACAAUAAUACACUGUAUAAAUUUUCACUAAUAAUAUAUGAUCAAAGGGGGCCUCUAAAUUUAGUCCACUGUGGAUGCAAAGUUGGACUCUCACAUGUGUAUUCACAUAUCAAUUCACAUUGAUGAAUUAUCUGCUCCAUUCAGCACUAUUCACUCUGACCAAUUUAUUAUCAUGGGCCAAAUUUCCAUUUAACUGGACAAUGAAUAAAUUCCACUCAAUUCAGAUCUUGUUCAUGCAAUAUUAAGAACUUUUUUAUAUAGAUAUCAUCGAGAUGCUUUGUAUUAAAAAAAUCUUAAUAUUGCAUUAACCAAGAUAUAUUUUACUGUAUUGAAUGAGUAAAUUAGUAUGGGGAAGGGGGGGGGGGGGGGGGUGUGCAAGAAUAUGAAAACAUCAGCAUUCUUGGAAGAAAUUAAUUUACUUUUAUGGACACCAACUGCAGUUAGUCAAGUCUUGUAUUUUCAUACAUUUGGUUCUGAGUUCUGACUAUACAGAAGUUUUAAACAUCUCUUCUUAAAAAAAAAUGUUCAGGGUGUUUUUAAGGUGAUGACUGUCAGAUAUUGUAUCGAAAUACCAUUUUAUUGUAAGAUUUUGUCAUAUGAAAACCAAUAAAUAAGUUAUCACUAUCACAUUCA